RNAcentral lists this ribosomal RNA (229 nucleotides) under uncultured bacterium. RNAcentral's name for it is "partial 16S ribosomal RNA". It matches the Rfam family "Bacterial small subunit ribosomal RNA", at positions 568 to 796 of the family's 1533-position model. The record is from RNAcentral.
UGCGUAGGCGGAUUAAUAAGUCAGUGGUGAAAACCUGCAGCUUAACUGUAGACUUGCCAUUGAUACUGUUAGUCUUGAGUACGGUCAAGGUAGGCGGAAUGUGUAAUGUAGCGGUGAAAUGCUUAGAUAUUACACAGAACACCGAUUGCGAAGGCAGCUUACUGGACCAUUACUGACGCUGCGGCACGAAAGCGUGGGGAGCGAACAGGAUUAGAUACCCUGGUAGUCC